This 492-nucleotide ribosomal RNA is filed under the name uncultured bacterium. RNAcentral's name for it is "partial 16S ribosomal RNA". It matches the Rfam family "Bacterial small subunit ribosomal RNA", at positions 29 to 507 of the family's 1533-position model. The record is from RNAcentral.
AGUGAACGCUGGCGGUAGGCCUAACACAUGCAAGUCGAACGGCAGCACAGUAAGAGCUUGCUCUUACGGGUGGCGAGUGGCGGACGGGUGAGGAAUACAUCGGAAUCUACUUUUUCGUGGGGGAUAACGUAGGGAAACUUACGCUAAUACCGCAUCCGACCUACGGGUGAAAGCAGGGGAUCUUCGGACCUUGCGCGAUUGAAUGAGCCGAUGUCGGAUUAGCUAGUUGGCGGGGUAAAGGCCCACCAAGGCGACGAUCCGUAGCUGGUCUGAGAGGAUGAUCAGCCAAACUGGAACUGAGACACGGUCCAGACUCCUACGGGAGGCAGCAGUGGGGAAUAUUGGACAAUGGGCGCAAGCCUGAUCCAGCCAUACCGCGUGGGUGAAGAAGGCCUUCGGGUUGUAAAGCCCUUUUGUUGGGAAAGAAAAGCAGCAGGUUAAUACCCCGCUGUUCUGACGGUACCCAAAGAAUAAGCACCGGCUAACUUCGUG